CAAAGCUAAAGUCGGACGUCCUCAGAACUGUUAUACGUAUCCGAAGAUAAGAAGCCCCAUCACGAAAGUAACUUUAUCUCCCCUGACCCCACGAAAGCUGUGACACAAACUGGGAUUAGAUACCCCACUAUGCUCAGCCAUAAACUUUGAUAGGCCAUUACACCCCCUAUCCGCCCGGGAACUACGAGCACUAGCUUAAAACCCAAAGGACUUGGCGGUGGCUUCAGACCCACCUAGAGGAGCCUGUUCUACAACCGAUAUCCCCCGUUGAACCUCACCCUCUCUUGUUCUUUUCCGUCUAUAUACCGCCGUCGUCAGCUUACCCUGUGAAGGGCUAAUAGUAAGCAAAAUUGGCAAAGCCCAAAACGCCAGGUCGAGGUGUAGUGAAUGAGAGGGCAAGAAAUGGGCUACAUUUCCUGGACCAGGAGACACGAACAAUUCUUUGUGCUGAAAAACACAUUUGAAGGAGGAUUUAGCAGUAAGCGAAAAUUAGAGCGUUUCGCUGAAAUUGGCCCUGAAGCGCGCACACACCGCCCGUCACUCUCCCCAGCUACUUAAACUUUAAUACCAAACAUAGGGGAGGCAAGUCGUAACAUGGUAAGUGUACCGGGAGGUGCACUUGGAUAAUCAGGAUUUAGCUAAA
Molecule: ribosomal RNA, 643 nt
Filed under: Plectroglyphidodon dickii (blackbar devil)
Lineage: Eukaryota; Metazoa; Chordata; Actinopteri; Pomacentridae
Description: partial 12S ribosomal RNA
Rfam family: Bacterial small subunit ribosomal RNA
Source: RNAcentral